CUGAAACAGAGGAAUACAUUCUCCAGAGGUGAGGCCAUCUCCAUUAGCUCCUCCCCAGGGAAAAGUGACUGCUUGUUCCCUGUGCGUGCGCCUCAAGAGCAGCUCAGAGUGCCCAGGCAGCUUCUGAUGCUACUUCUCUCUGCCUGAUAGAGGUUUAUCCAUCCUUGUGCACAUCUGGUCUGUAUUUAUGCACUGCAGAACAUGGAAAAGUAAAAGCUAAACACAUGGAUUUAACCUAUUUCACCUAAAGAGGUGAAAAGUGGGUGUUUAGAUAUUACUGGUCUGUAGCUGGCAGUUGCUUACAUACUGUGUAAAUCUCCAGGCAUCACAGCGACCAAGUGUGGACCCACAGUGGUGGUGGGGCCAGCAAACAGAUACCAGUAGGCUCUUAGUGCCUGAAUGGCCCAGGAGAACAUCUUGGGCACAGCUUCUCUGGUGCAGCACUGGUUCCAGGCUGUUCUGAACACGGUGCAGUGGUCUGGCACAGAAGGAUCACCUUGGUAUAUUAUGUUUUGGUUAUGCACCACUUGUUGUAUUGUAGGCUUGCACUCAGGUUAGUGAAGCAAACCCAGAGCUGGAGGGCAGGUGGCAGAAGCUUUUUGCCAUCAGCCAGAGCAGGGUAGUGCCCAUGGGGCCAGGCAGGGAGCAGAGAAGAGAUGUUCACAGCCAUGAAACAUAGAAUUAUAGAAUUGUUUGAGUUGGAAGAGACCUUUAAGUUCAUCUAAUCCAAUUCCCCUGCACUGAGCAGGGAUACCUACAGCUCAUUCAGGUGCUCAGAGCCCCACUAAGCCUGACCUUGAGUUUUUUCAGGGAUAGGGCAUCCACCUCCUCUCUGGGCAACUUGUGCCUGUCCAUCACCACCCUUAUUGUAAAAACUUCGUCUUUAUGUCUAGUCAAUCCUCUACUGGGGUCUGCAGAUGGCAUCUGGGGGCACACCUUCCCUGUCUCUCCCACACACAUCAACUUUUUGAUUUCUGCAGGUCCCAGCUAACCAUUAGCGCCAUAACUCACAUCGUACUGGGAGAUGCUGUGGUGACAACCAGUAUUAUAAGCAAUUCAGAACUGACUUUGAAGUGUACCAUUUAUGCUGUGAAGCAAACCAGACCUGCACCUGCUUACACCACUGUAUUUAUCCCUUUUUCUAAGUAGCUGUUUCAUUAGCAAUUGUUCAUUCUACUUUAAAAGGUGUAAACAGACAGAUGGCUUCACCACAUAAAUCAUUUUCACAUGAAGUUAGAUGUGCUUUCUGCAGAAGUGAAAUUUAUGCCUUCUUUUGCUUACUCCUAAUAACAGGAAUGUGUAUGCAAAUGUCCUAUCUCCCAAUAGCUACAAUAAAUUACUCUGGGGCAGUUGAACCCCUUCCAGCUUGAUACAGAAAUUCAAAGGGAAGGCAAAUAUAUCUUUUUUUUUCCCUGCAAAAGGUGAAGCAGGUGCUCUCAACAGCUUGAGUAAAGGUUUUAACCCCAUGUUAACAGAUUUGAUGAUACUGUGAUUUUGAUUCUAUAACACCUCCUUGCACAUAGAUUGCUAUUCAAUAAGCAGGCAUGUAAAAUUUACAUAAACAUAUAAAUGACACAGGUACAAAUAAGCCCCCAAAUCUAGACUGGUUAUUAAAGAUGUUAUUGCCCUCUAUAUCAGAAACAACCCCAUCAGCAGCCCUUGGUAAAACUUCAGCUGAGAUUUGUUGCCUCUGAUUGUUAUGGUCAGUCCCAGUCAAUCCCUUUCCCUAUAUAAACCCCAGGCCUGAAUGGGUCCUGUUGCUGCUGGGAUGAGGUGGUUGAGGUGUUCUUCUAAAAAAGCUAGCUCUUGUCACCUGGGUGAAUGUGGACCUUGUGCAGCUGUUUUGAGUGUCUUCUGGGAGAAGCAAUGUUCAAAUGCAUGCCUUCAUCUGUGUUGAUUGACAGCUGUGCCCUACACACAGUACUAGAGAAGGACAUGCUUGCCUCACCAUUAUUAGGACAUGCCACUUCCAGAUAAUACGAAUGAAGAUUGGGAGGAUGUUUCCUAUCACUAAGUUUGCUAAACCAAAGGCCUCUGAAAUCCAUUCCAUUCUCUCAAGCAUGGGAAAUGGAGCUUGAGUGAAGGUCGUAGCUGGCUGUCAGAAGCACAUAUUAAGUACUUAUCCUCCCCAACCAAGUUUCUGGAAUCUGGACUUCUUGCAUGAAACCCAUGUCUGCAUUUGACAGUUACUGAGAUUUUCAUAAAAUUAACUGGACCUGAUAGAAGAGAUGCUGCCAAAAAUGAAGGAUCUGUUCAUGUCACUGAAAUAUCUGGUUGGAUUUGGAGAGAAGAUUUCAUUUCUUCUAAAAUUUAGCCCUUUUCUUUUUGCCCUCAGGAAUUUGCUCCAGAGGAGUGGUGUUCUAGGACUGGGAAAUGCUCCAGAGGACCUGCCUAGACUUUCACAGGAAGUCUGCUUGUAAGCAACCUCAUACUGCCUCAGUGAACUGGGAACCCCUUCUUCCCACCACCACCAAAAAAAAAAAAAGCAGACACUAAUAUAUAGAAAGUAUUAAGCUAAGGGAAAUAAUUUUCCAAAUGUUACUUAAAGAAUAAUGCAAAUCAUCUGAAAAAAAAAAAAAAAAAAAGAGGAUAUUUGCUAACUUUUUAAUGUGCAUUUCAACUAUAAAAAUAUCUUCUAAGAUAAGAGUUGCAAUUUGUUGUGAAGGAAUAAAAUAUUUUUUUUUAAAUGUAUUAAGACAAAUUUUGUUCUGAUUCUCUAGCAGGCAAGUAAGAGUGCUGUUGUAUUAGAUAUGUAACUUUGAAAUCACUGCAAGUUAACUAUUAAGGCAGAAUACUUUGAUUUGGGAAGGAGCAGUUAGUUUACAUGUGUUGGAAAAGUGAAGUUAAACAUCUGAUAAUCAUAAAUGUCCUUUUUAUUUUUUUGUAACCACAUUCUAUUGCCAUAAAUACUUAGGGAAAAAAAACUGCUCCCCAAACCAUAAAAUAUAACAAGAACAAGCUACAGAAUAUUUAUGCAUUUUUUUUCCUCUUAUUGGCUUUAGGGAGGUCUACAUUUUGGUCUGUGAAUGUCUGUCUCAGCUGGAUGGCUUCAGAAAGUUUUGUAUUGCCCUGUCAGUUUCCAAAGGGAGAUGAAAACCAUAUUGUCAUGCCUAUGUUUGAAAAUGGAGACCAAGUUAAGGUUUGGCAUCACCUGCUUCUGAAAAAACAUCUGAAGUCUGUCUGUGAAGCAGAUUGUGCAGUCUGUGUCUUGCCUUUCCCCUAAAAUUCUGGUAGGUUGUGAGGCUUUGAAAACAUAGCAGCUCCUAGUGAGACCUUGCAGCUUUCUGCAGAGCAUUCCCUGGAAGAUGCUGACUUGUCUUAAGGGGAACCUGAGCACCAGGAGAAGCUGGAGCCCCAUGAACCCAUGAUCCUGCAAGGACUUCAGUGCACACCUUGCAAUGCUGUAGACAAAAAUUAGUGCUGGUGCUUUGACUUAUGAGGUUUGGACUUUUCAACUAUAAAGAUGUUCAUUAAAACCUUUGUGUAUGUUUGG
Long non-coding RNA from Tympanuchus pallidicinctus (lesser prairie-chicken), 3493 nucleotides. RefSeq lists it as uncharacterized. NCBI's taxonomy places the organism in Eukaryota, Metazoa, Chordata, Aves, Galliformes, Phasianidae. The record is from RefSeq and is a predicted model, not a curated record. The transcript has 2 exons.